CGCCGUGACAUUCCGGAAGAUCUUCUCC
RNAcentral lists this ribosomal RNA (28 nucleotides) under Aspergillus nidulans. RNAcentral's name for it is "partial 18S ribosomal RNA". The record is from RNAcentral. Lineage: Eukaryota; Fungi; Ascomycota; Eurotiomycetes; Eurotiales; Aspergillaceae.